RNAcentral lists this ribosomal RNA (154 nucleotides) under uncultured bacterium. Its description in RNAcentral is "partial 16S ribosomal RNA". It matches the Rfam family "Bacterial small subunit ribosomal RNA", at positions 1339 to 1500 of the family's 1533-position model. The record is from RNAcentral.
UAAUCGCGCAUCAGCCAUGGCGCGGUGAAUACGUUCCCGGGCCUUGUACACACCGCCCGUCAAGCCAUGGGAGCCGGGGGUGCCUGAAGUUCGUGACCGCAAGGAGCGACCUAGGGCAAAACUGGUGACUGGGGCUAAGUCGUAACAAGGUAAC